This 425-nucleotide long non-coding RNA is filed under the name Bos taurus (domestic cattle). RNAcentral's name for it is "long non-coding RNA NONBTAT020063". Lineage: Eukaryota; Metazoa; Chordata; Mammalia; Artiodactyla; Bovidae. The record is from RNAcentral.
UGAUUUGCUUCCUAUUGCACCACUGAUUGUGUUCAUCAUUAGGAAAUAUUAGCAUGUAAAAACCAUGUUUGUUUAUAUGCAAGUAAGUUGCCUGAUUUUUUUUUUUCUUUUUAAUUGUUCACUUUUAAAGAACACUUAUGUUAAAAAGAUGUGUCCUGAUUUCAUUAUCUCAGAGACUAAUUUGUGGUAGAAAUAUUUCUUUUGGCUAAACUAAAAAUUGUUUAGUGACAAGGACUCAGUCUAAGGCACUGUAACAAAAGGGAAAUGACCUCUUUGUGAUUCCUGAGUAUUCUGAGUUAGUUCAAAGAUGUCAUUUCAUGUUUUUUCACUUUUAUAACAUUGAUGUAAAGAUAGCGAUUAAAACCUUAUCAUUUUUAGUAGCACGGUUAUGCUUCUCAGGCUGAUUUCCUGUUUCUGGUUUCAGU